UGGGUUGUGGCUCAGUGAUAGAGCUCUUGCCUUGCAUGCAUGAGGUACUGGGAACAAUCCUCAGCACCAUAU
This is a non-coding RNA of Ictidomys tridecemlineatus (thirteen-lined ground squirrel), 72 nucleotides long. Lineage: Eukaryota; Metazoa; Chordata; Mammalia; Rodentia; Sciuridae. The record is from Rfam.